This 587-nucleotide long non-coding RNA is filed under the name Setaria viridis. RNAcentral's name for it is "long non-coding RNA (SVIR_LNC006025)". The record is from RNAcentral. Lineage: Eukaryota; Viridiplantae; Streptophyta; Magnoliopsida; Poales; Poaceae.
UUCAAGAGGGUGGUGAAGGCCAAGUCGACGGAGCGGUUCGAUGGGCUCCCCUACCUGCUCUCCCUGCUCAACUGCUGCAUCUGCCUCUGGUACGGCCUCCCCUGGGUCUCCGACGGCGGCAGGACCCUCGUGGCCACCGUCAACGGCACCGGCGCGCUGUUCCAGCUCGCGUACAUUUCGCUCUUCAUCUUCUACGCCGACAGCAGGAGCACACGGGUAAUUCUUUCCUUGCCGACUUGCCGUCCUCAACUACACCAGCUUCAGUUCGGAAAAGAGACCCGAAGAAUUGUGCUGGUUCUUUGCCGUGUCUGACUGACCGACACGAGUAAGAUGGACCGCACAAUUUUGUCUGUGGAAGCUGUUUUCUUUCUUCCAUUUCUGCAAUAGACGAUGUUUGCGUGGAUAAUGAGACCUGUUCUUCGUCCUCUCCACAGUUAAAGAUCACGGGGAUCCUGCUGCUCGAAGUCUUCGUGUUCGCGUUCGUUGCGCAUGCGAGCAUCGCCUUCUUGGACCAGCCGGCCCGGCAGCUGUUCAUCGGCGGCGUGAGCAUGGCGUCUCUGAUCUCCAUGUUUGCCUCCCCACUGGCC